This 358-nucleotide unclassified non-coding RNA is filed under the name soil metagenome. RNAcentral's name for it is "partial contains 5.8S ribosomal RNA, internal transcribed spacer 2, and large subunit ribosomal RNA". The stretch from base 1 to 120 matches the Rfam family "5.8S ribosomal RNA", at positions 35 to 154 of the family's 154-position model. The record is from RNAcentral.
GAUGAAGAACGUAGCGAAAUGCGAUAAGUAAUGUGAAUUGCAGAAUUCAGUGAAUCAUCGAAUCUUUGAACGCACAUUGCGCCCGCCAGUAUUCUGGCGGGCAUGCCUGUCCGAGCGUAAUUUCAACCCUCGAACCCCUCCGGGGGGUCGGCGUUGGGGACCUCGGGAGCCCCUAAGACGGGAUCCCGGCCCCGAAAUACAGUGGCGGUCUCGCCGCAGCCUCUCCUGCGCAGUAGUUUGCACAACUCGCACCGGGAGCGCGGCGCGUCCACGUCCGUAAAACACCCAACUUCUGAAAUGUUGACCUCGGAUCAGGUAGGAAUACCCGCUGAACUUAAGCAUAUCAAUAAGCGGAGGA